Molecule: ribosomal RNA, 480 nt
Filed under: uncultured bacterium
Lineage: Bacteria
Description: bacterial SSU rRNA
Rfam family: Bacterial small subunit ribosomal RNA
Source: RNAcentral
AAUGAACGUUGGCGGCGUGGAUUAGGCAUGCAAGUCGUACGGUAGUAGCAAUACUAUAGUGGCGAAAGGGAUAGGACUGCAUAGAUUAUCUGCCCUCGGGACGAGGAUAGCUAAGGGAAACUUUAGGUAAUACUCGAUAACAUCUCCGGAUCAAAGGUGUGAUUCCGCCCGAGGAUGAGUCUAUGUCCUAUUAGCUAGUUGGCGGGGUAAUGGCCCACCAAGGCUUAGAUGGGUACGGGGCGUGAGAGCGUGACCCCGAUCACUGGGACUGAGACACUGCCCAGACACCUACGGGUGGCUGCAGUCGAGAAUCUUCGGCAAUGGGCGAAAGCCUGACCGAGCGACGCCGCGUGUGUGAUGAAGGCCUUCGGGUUGUAAAGCACUGUAAGUUGGGAGGAAAUGCAUGGGGGCUAUCCCCUGUGUUUGACCUAUCUUCAAAGUAAGGACGGGCUAAGUUCGUGCCAGCAGCCGCAGUAAGAC